This is a small nuclear RNA of Carcharodon carcharias (great white shark), 104 nucleotides long. The record is from RefSeq and is a predicted model, not a curated record. Lineage: Eukaryota; Metazoa; Chordata; Chondrichthyes; Lamniformes; Lamnidae.
GUCAGCACCAACUCACACUUACUAAAAUCGGAACGAUACAGAGAAGAUUAGCAUGGCCCCUGUGCAAGGAUGACAUGGAAAUUUGUGAUCCAGUGCAGAAAAAG